CUCAUGACGAUGACGUUGGUUACACCGUCAUCAUCAUACCUCCCUGUUGGACUUCGGCCGAGCUUAGUGCUCGGCCUUUUUU
This 82-nucleotide non-coding RNA is filed under the name Roseovarius nubinhibens ISM. RNAcentral's name for it is "Singlet oxygen resistance RNA X". It matches the Rfam family "Singlet oxygen resistance RNA X". Rfam says of the family: SorX (RSs2461)like SorY is a singlet oxygen induced sRNA that counteracts oxidative stress by targeting mRNA for a transporter in Rhodobacter. It also has an impact on resistance against organic hydroperoxides. The record is from Rfam by way of RNAcentral. Lineage: Bacteria; Pseudomonadati; Pseudomonadota; Alphaproteobacteria; Rhodobacterales; Roseobacteraceae.